Molecule: long non-coding RNA, 312 nt
Organism: Physella acuta
Lineage: Eukaryota; Metazoa; Mollusca; Gastropoda; Physidae
Source: RefSeq, a predicted model, not a curated record
UUAUUCAACGGAGGAAGUUCAGCUACUCUACACUCUACACAAUUCCAGUCCUUUGAUUCCCCACAAGAAGACUAGCCCUACUCAAGAUGCCUUCAAGAAUUCAGGCCAAGCUUGUUACAGAGCGCAAGAAAUAUUUGGAACAACAGAUACAAGUUUUGGAACCUGUUUUGGGAAAUAUGAAAAAUGUUGUUGCAAAAAGUAAGGCGUGGCUAGAAGAAAAAACUGACCAAUCAUCUGUCAGCUACAUCGAGCUAUCACAAGAACUGGACACAGCAGCCACGGCCUUGUUGGAUGUGACGUCACAUAUUUUAA